This 473-nucleotide ribosomal RNA is filed under the name uncultured bacterium. RNAcentral's name for it is "partial 16S ribosomal RNA". It matches the Rfam family "Bacterial small subunit ribosomal RNA", at positions 355 to 820 of the family's 1533-position model. The record is from RNAcentral.
UAGGGAAUCUUCCACAAUGGACGCAAGUCUGAUGGAGCAACGCCGCGUGAGUGAAGAAGGCUUUCGGGUCGUAAAACUCUGUUGUUGGAGGAGAAUGGUCGGCAGAGUAACUGUUGUCGGCGUGACGGUAUCCAACCAGAAAGCCACGGCUAACUACGUGCCAGCAGCCGCGGUAAUACGUAGGUGGCAAGCGUUAUCCGGAUUUAUUGGGCGUAAAGCGAGCGCAGGCGGUUUUUUAAGUCUGAUGUGAAAGCCCUCGGCUUAACCGAGGAAGCGCAUCGGAAACUGGGAAACUUGAGUGCAGAAGAGGACAGUGGAACUCCAUGUGUAGCGGUGAAAUGCGUAGAUAUAUGGAAGAACACCAGUGGCGAAGGCGGCUGUCUGGUCUGUAACUGACGCUGAGGCUCGAAAGCAUGGGUAGCGAACAGGAUUAGAUACCCUGGUAGUCCAUGCCGUAAACGAUGAAUGCUAGG